GGCAGCCUACGGGGGGCAGCAGUGAGGAAUAUUGGUCAAUGGGCGCGAGCCUGAACCAGCCAAGUCGCGUGAGGGAUGACGGUCCUACGGAUUGUAAACCUCUUUUGCCGGGGAGCAAGCGUGCGUUCGUGAACGCGCGUCGAGAGUACCCGGAGAAAAAGCAUCGGCUAACUCCGUGCCAGCAGCCGCGGUAAUACGGAGGAUGCGAGCGUUAUCCGGAUUUAUUGGGUUUAAAGGGUGCGUAGGCGGGAUGCCAAGUCAGCGGUAAAAUUGCGGGGCUCAACCCUGUCGAGCCGUUUAAACUG
Molecule: ribosomal RNA, 305 nt
Filed under: uncultured bacterium
Lineage: Bacteria
Description: bacterial SSU rRNA
Rfam family: Bacterial small subunit ribosomal RNA
Source: RNAcentral